CCUCAGCCAGGCAAGCUGACCGAGGCCUUCAAGUACUUCCUGCAAGGCAUGUGCUACAUGGCCUCAUCCUGCAUGACUCGCCUGUCCCGAUCUCACACAGCUUCCCUGACCAGUGCAGCAUCCAUUGAUGGCAGCCGGUCCCGCGCUUGAACCUUGUCCCAGAGCAGCGAGUCCGGGACUCUCCCUUCAGGGCCCCCAGGGCACACCAUGGAGGUCUCCUGUUGAAUGGCCCUUAUUGCCCUGGUGUGGGACCCAGCCCUCACCU
Long non-coding RNA from Myotis davidii, 265 nucleotides. RefSeq lists it as uncharacterized. The transcript has 2 exons. NCBI's taxonomy places the organism in Eukaryota, Metazoa, Chordata, Mammalia, Chiroptera, Vespertilionidae. The record is from RefSeq and is a predicted model, not a curated record.